GAUCAUGGCUCAGGAUGAACGCUGGCGGCGUGCUUAACACAUGCAAGUCGAGCGAAGCGCUUAAGUUUGAUUCUUUGGGUGAAGACUUUUGUGACUGAGCGGCGGACGGGUGAGGUAACGCGUGGGUAACCUGCCUCAUACAGGGGGAUAACAGUUAGAAAUGACUGCUAAUACCGCAUAAGACCACGGUACCGCAUGGUACAGUGGUAAAAACUCCGGUGGUAUGAGAUGGACCCGCGU
This 240-nucleotide ribosomal RNA is filed under the name uncultured bacterium. RNAcentral's name for it is "partial 16S ribosomal RNA". It matches the Rfam family "Bacterial small subunit ribosomal RNA", at positions 15 to 236 of the family's 1533-position model. The record is from RNAcentral.